Molecule: ribosomal RNA, 78 nt
Filed under: uncultured bacterium
Lineage: Bacteria
Description: partial 16S ribosomal RNA
Source: RNAcentral
AGUAGGAACGGCCGGGUCGUAACCUAACGGUACCGGUACCGUAAGGAGCCGCCUAGGGUAAAACUGGUGACUGGGGCU